GAUGAACGCUGGCGGCGUGCCUAAUACAUGCAAGUCGAGCGAACGGACGAGAAGCUUGCUUCUCUGAUGUUAGCGGCGGACGGGUGAGUAACACGUGGAUAACCUACCUAUAAGACUGGGAUAACUUCGGGAAACCGGAGCUAAUACCGGAUAAUAUUUUGAACCGCGUGGUUCAAAAGUGAAAGACGGUCUUGCUGUCACUUAUAGAUGCAUCCGCGCUGCAUUAGCUAGUUGGUAAGGUAACGGCUUACCAAGGCAACGAUGCAUAGCCGACCUGAGAGGGUGAUCGGCCACACUGGAACUGAGACACGGUCCAGACUCCUACGGGAGGCAGCAGUAGGGAAUCUUCCGCAAUGGGCGAAAGCCUGACGGAGCAACGCCGCGUGAGUGAUGAAGGUCUUCGGAUCGUAAAACUCUGUUAUUAGGGAAGAACAUAUGUGUAAGUAACUGUGCACAUCUUGACGGUACCUAAUCAGAAAGCCACGGCUAACUACGUG
This 497-nucleotide ribosomal RNA is filed under the name uncultured bacterium. RNAcentral's name for it is "partial 16S ribosomal RNA". It matches the Rfam family "Bacterial small subunit ribosomal RNA", at positions 28 to 507 of the family's 1533-position model. The record is from RNAcentral.